RNAcentral lists this ribosomal RNA (112 nucleotides) under Acanthosepion pharaonis. Lineage: Eukaryota; Metazoa; Mollusca; Cephalopoda; Sepiida; Sepiidae. The record is from RNAcentral.
UACGGCCAUAUCACGUUGAAACACCGGUUCCCGUACGAUCACCGAAGUUGGGCAACGUCGAGCCUGAUCUAUAUCUCGAUGAGUGACCGCUUGGGAAUACCAUGUUCUGUAA